Molecule: long non-coding RNA, 1462 nt
Organism: Phycodurus eques (leafy seadragon)
Lineage: Eukaryota; Metazoa; Chordata; Actinopteri; Syngnathiformes; Syngnathidae
Exons: 3
Source: RefSeq, a predicted model, not a curated record
CCAAGGCGUCGAUUUGGUGCAGGUUGUCCCGGUCGGGCGCCAGCACGCACGGCUGGCUGUCGUCCGCGUACUCGGCGCUGGAUCGCAGAACCGAGCGCCGCAGGGCGCCCACUUGAGGCCGGGAGGGCCGAGGGGCUCCCGGUUCCGGUCCUCUGUCCAGCUUGUCGAAGCAGCUGACGCGCAGCUUUCCGUACACGACCUUGAGCAGGCCGUGCAUGCCCGGGUGGUCGUGCAGGGGGAUGCAGGCGCCGCUUUGGAGGAGGAACACGCCCAUGCUGAAGUGGUCCGUCUCGCAGAUGUGCAUGGGCGGGAGGAAAACAAACGGAAUACAGCCGACGAUGGUCACAACACACCUUCAUCAUCAUCAUCAUCAUCAUCAACAUCAUCAUCAUCAUCACUUCCUGAGGACGUCACCUUGCUUUAAGAAGAGACGCGUCCGAUUACACGUCUAACGACCGGAACAUAUGAAGAUAAUAAUUAGACUGCUUCCACGUCUCAGAGCUACGAGUGAGGCAAGAAAGAAAGCCGUGAGCUGACUCCGUAUUUGAAUCGACAAAAAGUAUCACGUCGCCUCGUGGCUGCCCAGUUCUUUCUGCGCCAAAGCAUUGCAGCGAUCUAUUCGAAGCAAACUAUUUUCGCUCGUCGUCGUCUUCAAAACAUACAUCCUCUCCAUCUUCAGGUGACGUAAUGCCGCACGGGAAGAGGAGGAGUUCCAAAACAUUUCUCAGACCGUUGAGCGGUCAAGACAGAAGAUUUGUUCUCAAGCUACUUUCUGCACGUCAAAUGAGUCCAAAUAACAGACAGACCGAUAGCGUCGCUUUGCGGGAAAAAUACGAGCGUGACCAUAUUUGGACAUACGAGCUUGACGGCGACGAGAUGGGAAAAUACUUUCCGGAAGGCCAAUUUCACCCUGGAAACCUUCGAGAUAGUUUCGAAAGCAAUAUUCUAAUUCUUGGGAAGCUGAACUAUGUGUGUCGAGUGGACCCAGCCGGACUGCAAAGAAAAAAAGAAUAUCGGCGAGAAGCUGAAUCCGCGGGGGUGUGCGUGUGUGCGUGUGCGCGCGCACGCGCCUGUACGUUUGUGCGACGCGUCGGCAUUUGCUGACCUCUCCUUCCCGCUUCUGGAUGUCGUCCGCUUUAUCUCCGGCGUACGCCGACUGCAGACGGACGGCGUCUUCUUGGAGCUGACGCACCUGAAACGGCAAAAACAACACGAGCUAACGAGGUCGUCGGGUCACGUUUGGAUGCCGCCGUUGCCGACACGCUCGCAGCGUUUCUUCACGUGAGCGACUUCGAUCGCCACUCAACAAAAUCUAAUUGUGGCUUCAGUUUUUCAGAAUGGUGAACAACACAUUUAAGGAUUGAUUUUAAUGGUGAUUUUGCGCAUUUGAGAAUUAAAACGGAGCGAUGGGCCAAGUCAUUGCUAGAUGAUGUGCGCAGAAAAAAGAGGUUUUGGAAUGAGA